UACGGAGGGCGCAAGCGUUGUUCGGAAUCACUGGGCGUAAAUCGCGUGCAGGCGGCUUGGUAAGUCGGGUGUGAAAUCCAGGAGCUCAACUCCGGAACUGCACCCGAUACUGCCUCGCUAGAGUCCCGGAGAGGAUGGCGGAAUUUCCGGUGUAGAGGUGAAAUUCGUAGAUAUCGGAAGGAACACCAGCGGCUAAGGCGGCCAUCUGGACGGUGACUGACGCUAAGACGCGAAAGCUCGGGGAGCAAACAGG
Molecule: ribosomal RNA, 253 nt
Filed under: uncultured bacterium
Lineage: Bacteria
Description: partial 16S ribosomal RNA
Rfam family: Bacterial small subunit ribosomal RNA
Source: RNAcentral